GACGGAGGGGGCAAGCGUUGUCCGGACUCACUGGGCGUAAAGGGUGCGCAGGCGGCAGAGCGCGUCCGCGCUGAAAUCUGUCGGCUUAACUGACAGGCGCGUGCGGAUACGGCUCAGCUCGAGGCACGGAGAGGGUGGGGGAACUCCUGGUGUAGUGGUGAAAUGCGUAGAGAUCAGGAAGAACACCCGUGGCGCAAGCGCCCACCUGGCCGUGACCUGACGCUGCGGCACGAAAGCGUGGGGAGCAAACAGG
Molecule: ribosomal RNA, 253 nt
Filed under: uncultured bacterium
Lineage: Bacteria
Description: partial 16S ribosomal RNA
Rfam family: Bacterial small subunit ribosomal RNA
Source: RNAcentral